CACCACAUCGGGGUAUACUCACCUCCAACAAUUUGUAUUUAAACCACUACAAUAUAUAUUGUAUGUGUGUACUAUUAUUUUAGGUAGUAAUUAUAUUUUUCUUUAAGAAAGAAGGCGGUGAAGCGGUGUUUAACAACAUAAUAAUAAUAAUAUUAUUAUGAAUAUAGAAGAAGAAUCAUAUAGAGACUCUUUAAUAUAUAGAAAAUAUAUAUAUAAAGAAAGAUAGAAAAGUGAAAAUACUUUCUCUGUUAAGAUCUAGUAUUUUAAGAAAUACGAUUUGAAAGGAGUUAGUUACUUUUCUAAAGUAUAUUCUUAAGAAAGAUACUCCAAAAAAUAGAACUAAUAAUUAUACUACUCCUUACGAAAAAUUUCUUUAGUUAUUAUAUUGUACACCCGAGUAUAAUAAUAGAUUAUUAUAAAUAUUUGUUGAAUAAACCCCAUCAGAAUGUUGGGGGGUGGUAUACACCCGGGUGUGUUG
This 478-nucleotide ribosomal RNA is filed under the name Psilochaeta pampiana. RNAcentral describes it as "eukaryotic LSU rRNA". Lineage: Eukaryota; Metazoa; Arthropoda; Insecta; Diptera; Muscidae. The record is from RNAcentral.